CCUACGGGAGGCAGCAGUAGGGAAUCUUCCACAAUGGACGAAAGUCUGAUGGAGCAACGCCGCGUGAGUGAUGAAGGUUUUCGGAUCGUAAAACUCUGUUGUAAGGGAAGAACACGUACGAGAGGGAAUGCUCGUACCUUGACGGUACCUUACGAGAAAGCCACGGCUAACUACGUGCCAGCAGCCGCGGUAAUACGUAGGUGGCAAGCGUUGUCCGGAAUUAUUGGGCGUAAAGCGCGCGCAGGCGGCCUUUUAAGUCUGAUGUGAAAGCCCCCGGCUC
This 280-nucleotide ribosomal RNA is filed under the name uncultured bacterium. Its description in RNAcentral is "partial 16S ribosomal RNA". It matches the Rfam family "Bacterial small subunit ribosomal RNA", at positions 338 to 610 of the family's 1533-position model. The record is from RNAcentral.